GGCCGGAUAAGGCGUUUACGCCGCAUCCGGCUAUGGUGCCUGAUGCGACGCUGAGGCGUCUUAUCAGGCC
This 70-nucleotide non-coding RNA is filed under the name Escherichia marmotae. Its description in RNAcentral is "Nucleoid-associated noncoding RNA 4 (CssrE)". It matches the Rfam family "Nucleoid-associated noncoding RNA 4 (CssrE)". Rfam says of the family: In E. coli small RNA transcribed from repeated extragenic palindromic element (REP325) called nucleoid-associated ncRNA 4 (nRNA4) collaborates HU protein in condensing the DNA. Lineage: Bacteria; Pseudomonadati; Pseudomonadota; Gammaproteobacteria; Enterobacterales; Enterobacteriaceae. The record is from RNAcentral.